UUUCGCAAUGCCCGAAAGGGUGACGAAGCGACGCCGCGUGUGGGAAGAAGACCUUCGGGUUGUAAACCACUGUCGGGAGUUAAGAAAUGUAAGGGUGUUAACAGCAUCCUUACUUGACUAAGGCUCCGGAGGAAGCCACGGCUAACUCUGUGCCAGCAGCCGCGGUAAUACAGAGGCGGCAAGCGUUGUUCGGAAUUAUUGGGCGUAAAGAGCACGUAGGCGGCCUUGCAAGUCAGUUGUGAAAUCCUUCUGCUUAACGGAAGAACAGCAGCUGAUACUACAGGACUUGAGUGCGGGAGGGGAGAGUGGAACUUCUGGUGGAGCGGUGAAAUGCGUAGAUAUCAGAAGGAACGCCGGCGGCGAAAGCGGCUCUCUGGCCCGUAACUGACGCUGAGUGUGCGAAAGCUAGGGGAGCAAACGGGAUUAGAUACCCCGGUAGUCCUAGCCGUAAACGACGGGCACUAAGUAGAGGGGUUUUA
Molecule: ribosomal RNA, 479 nt
Filed under: uncultured bacterium
Lineage: Bacteria
Description: bacterial SSU rRNA
Rfam family: Bacterial small subunit ribosomal RNA
Source: RNAcentral